RNAcentral lists this ribosomal RNA (1414 nucleotides) under Enterobacter sp. RNAcentral's name for it is "partial 23S ribosomal RNA". It matches the Rfam family "Bacterial large subunit ribosomal RNA", at positions 1 to 1585 of the family's 2925-position model. The record is from RNAcentral. Lineage: Bacteria; Pseudomonadati; Pseudomonadota; Gammaproteobacteria; Enterobacterales; Enterobacteriaceae.
GAGUAAGCCUUAUAUUGUACCUUGAAAACUGCAUACAUGAAAUUUGAUUAAAUGAUAAGCUGCGAUAAGCUUCGGGGAGGAGCAAAUAUCCCGUGAUCCGGAGAUGUCUGAAUGGGGAAACCCACAUGAGCAAACCUCAUGUAUCCUACAGCCAAUACAUAACUGUAGGAAGGGAACCCGGGGAACUGAAACAUCUAAGUACCCGGAGGAAAAGAAAGAAAACUCGAUUCCGUAAGUAGCGGCGAGCGAACGCGGAGGAGCCUAAACCAGAGUGCGUGCAUUCUGGGGUUACGGACUGCAUUUAAGAUUCUUGGAGGCUAACAGAACGGUUUUGGGAAAGCCGGCCACAGAGGGUGAAAGCCCCGUACGUGAAAGCCGAUGAGACUGAGCAGGAUCCAGAGUACCACGAGACACGUGGAACCUUGUGGGAAAUCAGGGGGACCACCCCCUAAGGCUAAAUACUACUUAGUGACCGAUAGCGCAUAGUACUGUGAAGGAAAGGUGAAAAGGACCCCGGGAGGGGAGUGAAAGAGAACCUGAAACCCUGUGUCUACAAGCUGUGGAAGGGUGAUCUAUCCAUGUCCAGGUUGAAGCUGCCGUAAGAGGUAGUGGAGGACCGAACCCACAUCCGUUGAAAAGGGUGGGGAUGAGGUGUGGAUAGGGGAGAAAUUCCAAUCGAACCCGGAGAUAGCUGGUUCUCCUCGAAAUAGCUUUAGGGCUAGCCUCGAUACAGAUUUGCGGAGGUAGAGCACUGAAUUUCCUAGGGGGCGUCAAAGCCUACCGAAGAAUAUCAAACUCCGAAUGCCGCGUAAUCGAUUAUCGGGAGUCAGACUGCACGAGAUAAGUUGGGCGGUCAAAAGGGAAAGAGCCCAGACCUUCAGUUAAGGUCCCCAAGUGCGCGUUAAGUGGAAAAGGAUGUGGGAUUUCGAAGACAACCAGGAUGUUGGCUCAGAAGCAGCCAUCCAUUCAAAGAGUGCGUAAUAGCUCACUGGUCGAGAGGUCCUGCGCCGAAAAUGUCCGGGGCUGAAACGCGCCACCGAAACUAAGGAACCGAAAGGUUGGUAGAGGAGCAUUGCAUGCGGGAAGAAGCAGUACCGAAAGGAGCUGUGGACUGCAUGGAAGAGAGAAUGCCGGAAUGAGUAGCGAGAAUAAGGUGAGAAUCCUUAUGGCCGAAUAUCCAAGGUUUCCAGAGUAAAGCUGAUCUGCUCUGGGUAAGUCGGGGCCUAAGGCGAGGACGAGAGUCGUAGCCGAUGGACAACAGGUGGAGAUUCCUGUACUGCGGUAUGACAGAACUGUGGGGACACGUAAGGAAAGCGGAAGCCGGGAAUGGAAAGCCCGGUGCAAGCGGGGUACCAGUCACUUAGGCAAAUCCGGGUGGCAAUGGGAAGCCGUGAUGCGGAGCGAAAUAAAGUAG